This 514-nucleotide ribosomal RNA is filed under the name uncultured Ilumatobacter sp. RNAcentral describes it as "bacterial SSU rRNA". It matches the Rfam family "Bacterial small subunit ribosomal RNA", at positions 86 to 618 of the family's 1533-position model. The record is from RNAcentral. Lineage: Bacteria; Bacillati; Actinomycetota; Acidimicrobiia; Acidimicrobiales; Ilumatobacteraceae.
GAAGAUCUAGUGGCGAACGGGUGAGGAUCACGUGAGAAACCUGCCCCAGACUCUGGGAUAACAAUUGGAAACGAUUGCUAAUACCGGAUGACGUCGGAGAACCGCAUGGUUCACUGACGAAAGAUAUUUCGGUUUGGGAGGGUCUCGCGGCCUAUCAGCUUGUUGGUGGGGUAAUGGCCUACCAAGGCAACGACGGGUAGCUGGUCUGAGAGGAUGAUCAGCCACACUGGGACUGAGACACGGCCCAGACUCCUACGGGAGGCAGCAGUGGGGAAUCUUGCGCAAUGGGCGAAAGCCUGACGCAGCAACGCCGCGUGCGGGAUGAAGGCCUUCGGGCUGUAAACCGCUUUCAGCAGGAACGAAAAUGACGGUACCUGCAGAGGAAGGAGCGGCCAACUACGUGCCAGCAGCCGCGGUGACACGUAGGCUCCAAGCGUUGUCCGGAUUUAUUGGGCGUAAAGAGCUCGUAGGCGGUUUAGUAAGUCGGGUGUGAAAACUCUGGGCUUAACCCGGA